CGACACGUCCGAGAGACGCGGCGACCAAGGACGGGCUGCCGUCGGCGGGGUCGGGCCUUGCGGCAGAGGCAAAGACGCGCCACAGGCCGUCGCAAACAAGGCACGCGAGGUCCCUUACGGUCCACGGGCAGUCGUUGGCCAGCACAUAUGCGAUGCACUCGACACGGGCGGAUUCAAUGGCUGCGGCAAGGGUGACGUCGCUCCACGGGCGUCCGUUUUCGUAGAGAUAACGCAGCAUCGCAAGGUCGCCCCUGCGGGCGGCGAUCGUGCACCAGUUGUCGCGACCUCGGUUGGCACUCUCGAAUCGACGCAUGCAUUCAACGUGGCCGGCCCUGACGGCGGCCAAGUCGGUAGACGCACCCGGUCGGACACCGGCAGCGACGACUUUUUCCACACACAAGAGGUGGGCAGCCGUUGCCGGUCCCGUGCAUAGCGGCGCGUCGAGAGACCACGGCCCAUCAGCAAACAAGAGAAUACGGUCGACACAAUUUGUAUGACCGUUGGCAACGGCGACCGCCAGCGCCCUCGCGUCGCAAGGACAGCCGGCCUCAGUGAGACGCACGAGACAUCUGGUGUGGCCUCUCUGGGCUGCCUCAAAGCACGUCGCGCAGCCGUUGAUAAGCGUCGCACACAAACUAGACACGUCGGUGCCGACGAGGCGCCCGUUGGGGCUGCGGCGGCAGACGUAAUCUGCGCGGUUUUGGCGACGGAUAUAAUCGGCGCAUUCUGCGUGCCCGUUGGCGACGGCAAUGUGCAAGAUGCCCGGAGCCCAUUUCCGCGUCGAGUUGUGCUCGUAGAGGCGCCGCAGGCACGAAAGGUGGCCCCUCUCGGCCGCCUCGACAAAUGUCGAUUCGCAGGCGUCGUAGCCCAUAUCCAUGAGCCACUGGAGGAUGUCGGCAUGCCCGUAUUGUGCCGCCCUGUGGAUUAGGCCGCCCAAGGCGACCUUUUCGCGCAUCGCCUUUCGGCAUAGAUGGCGCACGCACGGUAGAUGUCCGGCUAUUGUGGCGCAUUUCAGGGCCCUCCAAAGGCACAAUGGCGACAAUUUUGCGUGGGCGGUCACGCGAAACACGCACAGGCCCCGGAUCGACGGAUCGAGGCAUAUGGCGCGCAAUCGGUGGCAGGCCUGCGCCGGUCCCGCCGUGACCUGGACGCACGAGAGCCAGCCAAACACGACUGCGAGCAUUUCGUCGGGGAGGUUGGCGAUCGUCGCGGUCUUCAUUCUAGGUCGAAUGCGGCUGUUGUCGAUGCAAAAGGAGACUGCGGCCAAGAGACAGAAUGUGCCCUAUUGUCCCGCCAACGAAAAGAAAUUUUUGUUGAUGUUUCCAAUAAGAGCACCAAUUGCGCGGGAGUGAGCCGAAUCGGGCCACUUACGCCGAGACAUUCCUAC
Molecule: long non-coding RNA, 1387 nt
Filed under: Pandoravirus neocaledonia
Description: hypothetical ncRNA
Source: RNAcentral